AUUGAACGCUGGCGGCAGGCCUAACACAUGCAAGUCGAGCGGAUGAAGGGAGCUUGCUCCUGGAUUCAGCGGCGGACGGGUGAGUAAUGCCUAGGAAUCUGCCUGGUAGUGGGGGAUAACGUCCGGAAACGGGCGCUAAUACCGCAUACGUCCUGAGGGAGAAAGUGGGGGAUCUUCGGACCUCACGCUAUCAGAUGAGCCUAGGUCGGAUUAGCUAGUUGGUGGGGUAAAGGCCUACCAAGGCGACGAUCCGUAACUGGUCUGAGAGGAUGAUCAGUCACACUGGAACUGAGACACGGUCCAGACUCCUACGGGAGGCAGCAGUGGGGAAUAUUGGACAAUGGGGGAAAGCCUGAUACAGCCAUGCCGCGUGUGUGAAGAAGGUCUUCGGAUUGUAAAGCACUUUAAGUUGGGAGGAAGGGCAGUAAGUUAAUACCUUGCUGUUUUGACGUUACCAACAGAAUAAGCACCGGCUAACUUCGUG
Molecule: ribosomal RNA, 484 nt
Filed under: uncultured bacterium
Lineage: Bacteria
Description: partial 16S ribosomal RNA
Rfam family: Bacterial small subunit ribosomal RNA
Source: RNAcentral